GCGGGCGUCGUAUAAUGGUUAUUACCCAAGCUUCCCAAGCUUGUGACGCGGGUUCGAUUCCCGCCGCCCGCUCCA
RNAcentral lists this transfer RNA (75 nucleotides) under Zetaproteobacteria bacterium. Its description in RNAcentral is "tRNA-Gly". It matches the Rfam family "tRNA". From Rfam's summary of the family: Transfer RNA (tRNA) molecules are approximately 80 nucleotides in length. Lineage: Bacteria; Pseudomonadati; Pseudomonadota; Candidatius Mariprofundia. The record is from RNAcentral.